RNAcentral lists this ribosomal RNA (497 nucleotides) under uncultured bacterium. RNAcentral's name for it is "partial 16S ribosomal RNA". It matches the Rfam family "Bacterial small subunit ribosomal RNA", at positions 28 to 507 of the family's 1533-position model. The record is from RNAcentral.
GAUGAACGCUGGCGGCGUGCCUAAUACAUGCAAGUCGAGCGAACAGAUAAGGAGCUUGCUCCUCUGAAGUUAGCGGCGGACGGGUGAGUAACACGUGGGUAACCUACCUAUAAGACUGGGAUAACUUCGGGAAACCGGAGCUAAUACCGGAUAACAUAUAGAACCGCAUGGUUCUAUAGUGAAAGAUGGUUUUGCUAUCACUUAUAGAUGGACCCGCGCCGUAUUAGCUAGUUGGUAAGGUAACGGCUUACCAAGGCAACGAUACGUAGCCGACCUGAGAGGGUGAUCGGCCACACUGGAACUGAGACACGGUCCAGACUCCUACGGGAGGCAGCAGUAGGGAAUCUUCCGCAAUGGGCGAAAGCCUGACGGAGCAACGCCGCGUGAGUGAUGAAGGGUUUCGGCUCGUAAAACUCUGUUAUUAGGGAAGAACAAAUGUGUAAGUAACUGUGCACAUCUUGACGGUACCUAAUCAGAAAGCCACGGCUAACUACGUG